AUUGAACGCUGGCGGCAUGCUUUACACAUGCAAGUCGAACGGUAACAGGCCGCAAGGUGCUGACGAGUGGCGAACGGGGGAGUAAUGCAUCGGAACGUGCCCAGUCGUGGGGGAUAACUACUCGAAAGAGUAGCUAAUACCGCAUACGAUCUAUGGAUGAAAGCGGGGGACCGUAAUGCCUCGCGCGAUUUGAGCGGCCGAUGUCAGAUUAGGUAGUUGGUGGGGUAAAGGCUCACCAAGCCAACGAUCUGUAGCUGGUCUGAGAGGACAACCAGCCACACUGGGACUGAGACACGGCCCAGACUCCUACGGGAGGCAGCAGUGGGGAAUUUUGGACAAUGGGCGCAAGCCUGAUCCAGCAAUGCCGCGUGCAGGAAGAAGGCCUUCGGGUUGUAAACUGCUUUUGUACGGAACGAAACGGCUCUGGUUAAUACCCGGGGCUAAUGACGGUACCGUAAGAAUAAGCACCGGCUAACUACGUG
Molecule: ribosomal RNA, 482 nt
Filed under: uncultured bacterium
Lineage: Bacteria
Description: partial 16S ribosomal RNA
Rfam family: Bacterial small subunit ribosomal RNA
Source: RNAcentral